This 1101-nucleotide ribosomal RNA is filed under the name Cryobacterium arcticum. Its description in RNAcentral is "bacterial SSU rRNA". It matches the Rfam family "Bacterial small subunit ribosomal RNA", at positions 62 to 1177 of the family's 1533-position model. The record is from RNAcentral. Lineage: Bacteria; Bacillati; Actinomycetota; Actinomycetes; Micrococcales; Microbacteriaceae.
UCGAACGGUGAUGAGGAGCUUGCUUCUCUGAUCAGUGGCGAACGGGUGAGUAACACGUGAGUAACCUGCCCCCGACUCUGGGAUAAGCACUGGAAACGGUGUCUAAUACCGGAUACGAGCUUCAGCCGCAUGGCUAGGAGUUGGAAAGAAUUUCGGUUGGGGAUGGACUCGCGGCCUAUCAGCUAGUUGGUGAGGUAAUGGCUCACCAAGGCGACGACGGGUAGCCGGCCUGAGAGGGUGACCGGCCACACUGGGACUGAGACACGGCCCAGACUCCUACGGGAGGCAGCAGUGGGGAAUAUUGCACAAUGGGCGCAAGCCUGAUGCAGCAACGCCGCGUGAGGGACGACGGCCUUCGGGUUGUAAACCUCUUUUAGUAGGGAAGAAGCGAAAGUGACGGUACCUGCAGAAAAAGCACCGGCUAACUACGUGCCAGCAGCCGCGGUAAUACGUAGGGUGCAAGCGUUGUCCGGAAUUAUUGGGCGUAAAGAGCUCGUAGGCGGUUUGUCGCGUCUGCUGUGAAAACCCGAGGCUCAACCUCGGGCCUGCAGUGGGUACGGGCAGACUAGAGUGCGGUAGGGGAGAUUGGAAUUCCUGGUGUAGCGGUGGAAUGCGCAGAUAUCAGGAGGAACACCAAUGGCGAAGGCAGAUCUCUGGGCCGUAACUGACGCUGAGGAGCGAAAGCAUGGGGAGCGAACAGGAUUAGAUACCCUGGUAGUCCAUGCCGUAAACGUUGGGAACUAGAUGUGGGGACCAUUCCACGGUCUCCGUGUCGCAGCUAACGCAUUAAGUUCCCCGCCUGGGGAGUACGGCCGCAAGGCUAAAACUCAAAGGAAUUGACGGGGGCCCGCACAAGCGGCGGAGCAUGCGGAUUAAUUCGAUGCAACGCGAAGAACCUUACCAAGGCUUGACAUAUAGAGGAAACGGCUGGAAACAGUCGCCCCGCAAGUUCUCUAUACAGGUGGUGCAUGGUGGUCGUCAGCUCGCGUCGUGAGAUGUUGGGUUAAGUCCCGCACCGAGCCCAACCCUCCUCCUAUGUUGCCAGCACGUAAUGGUGGGAACUCAUGGGAGCCUCCCGGGGUCAACUCGGAGGAAGGUGGG